This 748-nucleotide ribosomal RNA is filed under the name uncultured euryarchaeote. Its description in RNAcentral is "bacterial SSU rRNA". It matches the Rfam family "Archaeal small subunit ribosomal RNA", at positions 172 to 922 of the family's 1478-position model. The record is from RNAcentral. Lineage: Archaea; Methanobacteriati; Methanobacteriota.
GGAGCGGUGGGUGGAUCAAAGCUCCGGCGGCAUAGGGAUGGGCUGCGGCGUAUCAGGUUGUAGGGGGUGUAAUGUACCCUCUAGCCCUCUACGCGUACGGGUGCUGAGAGACAUAGCCCGGAGAUGGAUUCUGAGACACGAAUCCAGACCCUACGGGGUGCAGCAGGCGCGAAAACUUGGCAAUGCGAGCAAUCGUGACCAGGGAACUCCAAGUGCAUCGGGUAAGACCGAUGCUUUUCUUGACUCUUCAAAGGUCUUGGAAUAAGGGGUGGGUAAGGACGGUGCCAGCCGCCGCGGUAAUACCGGCGCCUCAAGUGGUAGUCGCUUUUAUUGGGCCUAAAACGUCCGUAGCCGGUUUGGUACAUUCGUGGGUAAAUCAAGACGCUCAACGUCUUGAAUUCUGCGAGCACGGCCAGACUUGGGACCGGGUGAGGUGUGGGGUACUCUCAGGGUAGGGGUAAAAUCCUGUCAUCCUGAGAGGACCACCUGUUGCGAAGGCGCCACACUAGAACGGAUCCGACGGUCAGGGACGAAGCCUAGGGGCACGAACCGGAUUAGAUACCCGGGUAGUCCUAGGUGUAAACGCUGUGGACUUGAUGUUGGGAGUGCUCCGAGCACCCUCAGUGUCGAAGCGAAGGUGAUAAGUCCACUGCCUGGGGAGUACGGUCGCAAGGCUGAAACUUAAAGGAAUUGGCGGGGGAGCACCGCAACCUGAGGAUUGUGCGGUUUAAUUGGAUUCAACGCCGGG